AAUCCGAGAAUUUCACCUCUCGCUUUACGGUACGAAUGCCCCCGUAACUACUCCCAUUAAUCAUUACCUCGGCCCCCAAAAACCAACAAAAUUGAGCCGAGGUCCUUUUCCAUUAUUCCAUGCAACAACAUUCGGGCGUAAAAUAUAUCUGCCUGCCUUUGAGCACACUGAUUUUCUCAAAGUAAACGUGCUUGCCAUUGUAGACACCCGAUUAAGAGCAUCUAACAACAACUCAAGCGUAUAUGAUUUAAAUUUAAUAGUAACCGCGAAACUUGCGCGGACCACUAAAUUUAAAACUGACGUCCAACUACGAGCGUUUCAACCGCAACAACUUUAAUAUGCGCUAUUGGAGCUGGAAUUACCGC
This 365-nucleotide unclassified non-coding RNA is filed under the name uncultured bacterium. Its description in RNAcentral is "contains 16S-23S intergenic spacer region". The record is from RNAcentral.